UUUUUUAAUGGCAUAUGUGAUGAAUUUGUAACUAGCUAGAUGGAAUGCCCUUUGUUUUUAUUGAAGAAUGGAGUCAAAUGCAAAUUUGUUAAGUAAAGAUAAUUGGAUUUUUUUAGUGUUGAUAUAUGGCCAAAUCCAAUCUAAUUAUUUCUGUUUUAAACCUUAAUUGGUUUGAUUUGACUUUUAUGUAAUUUGGUUUGGUCUUGAAACCAUAUGAAAACUGAUUGCCUCGACUGAAUGCUCUGUCCUAUAGUAGAGAAAGAAGCAGAGAAAUAGAAAGGAUGGGGGAAAGACAAAGAAAACAGAAGACUAGGAAAGAGAGAGGAGAUUAAAUAAAAAAUGUUAUUGCCCUAAUUGAAGAAUAAAGGAGAAUUAUGAG
This 379-nucleotide unclassified non-coding RNA is filed under the name Hevea brasiliensis (rubber tree). The record is from RNAcentral. Lineage: Eukaryota; Viridiplantae; Streptophyta; Magnoliopsida; Malpighiales; Euphorbiaceae.